RNAcentral lists this ribosomal RNA (482 nucleotides) under uncultured bacterium. RNAcentral describes it as "bacterial SSU rRNA". It matches the Rfam family "Bacterial small subunit ribosomal RNA", at positions 30 to 507 of the family's 1533-position model. The record is from RNAcentral.
AUUGAACGCUGGCGGCAUGCCUUACACAUGCAAGUCAACGGCAGCACGGGAGCAAUCCUGGUGGCGAGUGGCGAACGGGUGAGUAAUAUAUCGGAACGUGCCCAGUCGUGGGGGAUAACGUAGCGAAAGCUACGCUAAUACCGCAUACGAUCUAUGGAUGAAANCGGGGGAUCGCAAGACCUCGCGCGAUUGGAGCGGCCGAUAUCAGAUUAGGUAGUUGGUGAGGUAAAGGCUCACCAAGCCGACGAUCUGUAGCUGGUCUGAGAGGACGACCAGCCACACUGGGACUGAGACACGGCCCAGACUCCUACGGGAGGCAGCAGUGGGGAAUUUUGGACAAUGGGCGCAAGCCUGAUCCAGCAAUGCCGCGUGCAGGAUGAAGGCCUUCGGGUUGUAAACUGCUUUGUACGGAACGAAACGGUGAGCUCUAAUACAGUUUGCUAAUGACGGUACCGUAAGAAUAAGCACCGGCUAACUACGUG